UUUCCCAUCUCCAGCUGGGUUUGGGUUUCCAAAUCUCUGUCAAACUCAGCCCGUUUCCGUGGUAACAAUCUCACUCUCCCACCUAUGGAUAAGGACAAUUACUUCUUGCUGCUGAGCAGAGAUGGUGGAGCCAAAAGAGAAGGAAUAAGAUUAGAUGCAUCAUUUCUGCCAGAGGAAUUGUGCUGGACAAUGCUGAGGUUCUGUGUGGAAGGCAGGAUUUCUACAGGAGGUGUUCAGGACGCUGAGGAGCUCAGCUCAACGUGCUGGUCCUGUCCCACUUCAGGCUUCUGCCUGCAGAGGAAAAACUACAUUUUCUGAUGUUCUGAUGGCAAAAUAAACUACUCAGGAACUUGGAGACGUGUUGGACAGCUGCUGGAACUGAGCCCAGAGUGAGGGUGGAGCAGGCUGUGUGUGCUCUCUGAGUAGCUGCUAUGUUGCAAGAGUCCAAAAAUUAUACAAAAGCUGGAUGUUGGUUUUAGCUGGAAAUUUUCUUUGCCUAAAUUAGUCUUUCCAGAUGCUACAGAAUAAUUCAGUAAAGUUAAAUAAUGUACAGAAAGAAGGGAUGCUUCUGAAAGAACUUUGCAGUGGAUUAGUUUCAAAUGUGUGUGUAUAAACAUACAUACACACACACACACACACACAUAUAUAUAUAUGUGUGUUUAUAUAAACCUAACCAGAUAUUUGCAGGCUCUUUCAGAGUUAAGGAUUCUAGAGUUUUCUUGGAGAAAUCCUCAUUAUGGUUAAUUAUUGUCAAGACCUUGAUCUGGAGAGAUAAAUAGAUACAUAGAUGUAUAUUUGUGCAACAUGUGAUUUUGCUUAGUCUAUAAGAACUUAUUUCUGAACAUCCGUGUUUGAACUUACAAAAACAGUCUUGCUCUUCCUUUUUAAAUAGUCACCAGCUGUGUUAUUUUCUUUCAUUCGUUCAGCUAAUUUUCCCCAUAUUUAAAUAGCUUGAGAGCUUUGUUAAGGCUUCAUUCUGUUCAAAACUCAAAUUAAAAUGCUGAUUUCUGCA
Myiozetetes cayanensis is the source of this 1012-nucleotide long non-coding RNA. RefSeq lists it as uncharacterized. Lineage: Eukaryota; Metazoa; Chordata; Aves; Passeriformes; Tyrannidae. The transcript is spliced from 2 exons. The record is from RefSeq and is a predicted model, not a curated record.